RNAcentral lists this ribosomal RNA (369 nucleotides) under Pseudomonas aeruginosa. Its description in RNAcentral is "partial 23S ribosomal RNA". It matches the Rfam family "Bacterial large subunit ribosomal RNA", at positions 1238 to 1606 of the family's 2925-position model. Lineage: Bacteria; Pseudomonadati; Pseudomonadota; Gammaproteobacteria; Pseudomonadales; Pseudomonadaceae. The record is from RNAcentral.
GUUCUGUAAGCCGAUGAAGGUGGAUUGAGAAGUCUGCUGGAGGUAUCAGAAGUGCGAAUGCUGACGUGAGUAACGACAAUGCGAGUGAAAAACUCGCACGCUGAAAGACCAAGGGUUCCAGUCCAACGUUAAUCGGGGCUGGGUGAGUCGACCCCUAAGGCGAGGCCGAAAGGCGUAGUCGAUGGGAAAAUGGUUAAUAUUCCAUUACUUCUGUGUAAUGCGAUGAGAGGACGGAGAAGGCUAAAUCAGCCUGGCGUUGGUUGUCCAGGUGAAAGGAUGUAGGCAUGUAUCUUAGGCAAAUCCGGGGUACUCUAUGCUGAGAUCUGAUAGCAAGCUGUACUUGUACAGCGAAGUGGUUGAUGCCAUGCU